Long non-coding RNA from Prionailurus viverrinus (fishing cat), 300 nucleotides. RefSeq lists it as uncharacterized. Lineage: Eukaryota; Metazoa; Chordata; Mammalia; Carnivora; Felidae. The record is from RefSeq and is a predicted model, not a curated record. The transcript is spliced from 3 exons.
UUUCUUGGGGAAGGAAUACUCGUUUCCUCAAAUAUUGCUGGGACCACUGGAUAUCCACCUGGCCAUUCCUCACAGAAGAUACAAAAUUAACUCCAAUUUAUCCCCCAAAUUAACUAAAAAUAGACCUAAAGGUAUAACAAUAGAACCUAUCGAGUGGAUACUAUUAAUUGGGAGGAGACUCCCAGAAGUACGUUUAAGAAAUCAGGUGGUGAGGAAAUCACCUUUGUAGACUACCAGAAGGAGGUCUAACAGAUGAAAUGCAUAAAGACUACAGAGUGAAGAGAGACAUGGCUAUGCAUA